UAAAGAAAAAUACUUAAGAAAUAAUAUACGCUCCCUAAAAAAAUUUCUUAUUUUAUUAAAUCUUACGUCAAGAAAACUAGUAAUUAACUUUUAUGCAUUACACGAAGAAAGUGACUGAAUAAUUAAAAUGUCGACUCAUGUUUUUUCACAGCAGAUGUUGCCAUCUCAAAAACAAAAUUCUUAAGCUGUACAAAUCGUUUGCAUAUUAUUUUCUACAUAAAACAGCAUCCAUAAACUUCUGGAUAUGUAGAAACGCUGCAAUAAAAAGAAUCAAACUUCAGCGCUAAGUAAUAAAAUUUAUUUUUUAUAGAUCACAAUCUAAACCUCAGAUGUUUGCAUACAAUUAGCGUUGUGGAUAAAUGAAUUUUAUUGCCGAAUCUCAGAAGUUUCGUAAAAGUAAUAUGUGGCCUACCUAAGAAAUGAUUUUCUCUCUUAAAUCACAGAAGACAUUUUUAAGCUGACGGUGACUUAAGCUUAAGGUGACUACAAUAUGAUCAUGUAUAUAACUAAUGAAAAAAUACCAGAUGAUAUAACGCUGGUUAGCUUCUGCACGAGAACAUACCAGAAAUUCGCUACCUCGUAAUCAAAAGUAGGGAGUCUACUUAAACACUGAGAUAAAUGAUAUUUGGCACUGUAUUCCACUUUUGUUUAAAAUGUCACAAUCAUUUGAAUUAAAAUUAACAAUGACUUCU
This is a long non-coding RNA of Parasteatoda tepidariorum (common house spider), 692 nucleotides long. The record is from RefSeq and is a predicted model, not a curated record. Lineage: Eukaryota; Metazoa; Arthropoda; Arachnida; Araneae; Theridiidae.